UACAGAGGUCCCAAGCGUUGUUCGGAUUCACUGGGCGUAAAGGGUGCGCAGGUGGGUUUGCAAGUUUGAUGUGAAAGCCCCGGGCUUAACCCGGGAAUGGCAUUGAAUACUGCAGAUCUGGAGGAUUGGAGGGGGGACUGGAAUUCUUGGUGUAGCAGUGAAAUGCGUAGAUAUCAAGAGGAACACCAGUGGCGAAGGCGAGUCCCUGGACAAUUCCUGACACUGAGGCACGAAAGCUAGGGGAGCAAACAGG
RNAcentral lists this ribosomal RNA (253 nucleotides) under uncultured bacterium. Its description in RNAcentral is "partial 16S ribosomal RNA". It matches the Rfam family "Bacterial small subunit ribosomal RNA", at positions 524 to 776 of the family's 1533-position model. The record is from RNAcentral.